Pelobates cultripes (western spadefoot toad) is the source of this 239-nucleotide non-coding RNA. Lineage: Eukaryota; Metazoa; Chordata; Amphibia; Anura; Pelobatidae. The record is from the annotation of a GenBank genome assembly.
UCGUCCACCUGAAUAGCGUCUGACUUCAAAGGGUGCCGGUAGGAAUGCAUAGUAGCUUCUCAAGCAAUUAUCACAUGGAAGGGGAUUUCAUAAUAAUUUAAUUUGAUGCUAAAUACAUUUUUAGUAUGCCCACUUAAAUUUUUGUAUUACAUUUAAGUGGACUGUGUUCUGAUCAGGUGAUUAUUUGGUCCAAUUAGGUGCCCAUAGGACCAAAAGAUUGCUUGUCUUGUACACUAUGG